Diceros bicornis minor is the source of this 321-nucleotide long non-coding RNA. RefSeq lists it as uncharacterized. The record is from RefSeq and is a predicted model, not a curated record. The transcript is spliced from 3 exons. Lineage: Eukaryota; Metazoa; Chordata; Mammalia; Perissodactyla; Rhinocerotidae.
AAAGAGUUAACGUGGAUGUUCACUGAAGAAGCAUUUGUAAUGAAAAUGGCAAGAGCAAACAUCCUUUGAUUCAGCUGAAGCAGCCAAGUCCUCCUGAUUCCAAAGAGCCUAGAGUAGUGCGAGGACAUUGCUCUCAGAAGGAGGGAGAACAUCUUCAGCCAGUCCAUAUUCUGCCUGACUAUUUCCAUCUUGGGCCUGAUGUUUUUGGAAUUCUGUGGAAGUUGACCGUUAUUAUUACUUCUUUGGGAACUUCUGCAUUUUUCAUUUUCCUCUGGAGAACUGUCCUUGCUGUGAGUAUACUAAAGUACUUUAUGGAUAGAC